This 484-nucleotide ribosomal RNA is filed under the name uncultured bacterium. RNAcentral describes it as "partial 16S ribosomal RNA". It matches the Rfam family "Bacterial small subunit ribosomal RNA", at positions 29 to 507 of the family's 1533-position model. The record is from RNAcentral.
AGUGAACGCUGGCGGCAGGCCUAACACAUGCAAGUCGAGCGGCAGCGGGUCCUUCGGGAUGCCGGCGAGCGGCGGACGGGUGAGGAAUGCGUCGGAAUCUGCCUUUUUGUGGGGGAUAACGUAGGGAAACUUACGCUAAUACCGCAUACGACCUACGGGUGAAAGUGGGGGACCGCAAGGCCUCACGCAGAAAGAUGAGCCGACGUCGGAUUAGCUAGUUGGCGGGGUAAAGGCCCACCAAGGCGACGAUCCGUAGCUGGUCUGAGAGGAUGAUCAGCCACACUUGAACUGAGACACGGUCCAAGCUCCUACGGGAGGGAGCAGGUGGGAAUAUUGGACAAUGGGCGCAAGCCUGAUCCAGCCAUGCCGCGUGUGUGAAGAAGGCCUUCGGGUUGUAAAGCACUUUUGUCCGGAAAGAAAUCCUGUCGGCUAAUACCCGGCGGGGAUGACGGUACCGGAAGAAUAAGCACCGGCUAACUUCGUG